CACCCAGUCUGGAGUACAGCAGUGCAAUCACAGCUCACUGCAGCCUUGAUCUCCCAGGCUCAAGCAAUCCUCCCACCUCAGCUUCCCGAGUAGCUAGGACUGCAGAUAUGAACCACCAUGUCUGGUUAGGUUUUAAAACUUUUUUGUAGAGAUGGGGUCUCAUUAUGUUGCCCAGACUAGUCUCAAACUCCUGAGCUCAAGUGAUCCUCCUGCUUCAGCCUCCCAAUGUUCUGGGAUUACAGAGGUAAGCCACUGCAUCUGACCAGAAAUUUGGUCUUUUUAAGAGGUCCCCAGUAAUCCUUACAAUUAGGCCAGUUUGGGAAACACUGAACUUGAAGGAAUAAACCAUUGGUCCUUUCAGUUCCUUGCACUUCCACAUAACCCAUCUUAGAAGCCCCCUCUGGACAUCCUGAGGCUGGGGGUCCCAGGACCAAAAUUUGAGAACACUGCCCCAGAGCAGAUGUCAAACUCAAAGGCUUGUUCAAGCACAGAUUAUGGGCCCCACUUCUAGAGUUUCUGAUCUAGUUGGUCUGAGGUGAGGUUGGGGAUUUUGCAUUUCUAGUGAGUCCCCAGAUCAUGCUGAUGCUGCUGGUCUAGGUACUACACUUUGAGAAAUCUCCUGUGCUAGACCAUUCUGUUGUAUUAAAGAGUAGAUUUGUCCUCACGCAGACCAGAGACUUUUCUUCACGUCAAGCUUAGAUGUAUAUAAUUGCAGUAACUGACAUACCAGGCUUUCCUUAUAAAUCACCAGCUUCCUUAAUUAUUACAGAGCUCUGCUCUUGCAAUGUAUAGUAAUAUCCUAUUUAUUGUUAGAAGUAGGUAUUAGGAAGCCAGGUGCCACGGCUCACGCCUGUAAUCCCAGCAAUUUGGGAGGCCGAGGUGGGUGGAUCACAAGGUCAGGAGUUGAAGACCAGCCUGGCCAACAUGGUGAAACCCUGUCUCUACUAAAAAUACAAAAAAUUAGCCAGGCGUGGUGGCAGGUGCCUAUAAUCUCAGCUACUUGGGAGGCUGAGGCAGGAGAAUAGCUUGGACCUGGGAGGCCGAGGUUGCGGUGAGCCGAGAACAUGCCACUGCACUUCAGCCUGGGCAACAGAGCGGAACUCCAUCAAAAAAAAAAAAAAAAAAAAAAAGAAGUAGGUAUUAGGAAACUUAGGUGCUAGGAUUCCACUUACAACCCAGAGGCACACUUCAUGAACAUCUACAGAGAAGUCAUUUCCCUCUACAUGGCCUGAUUUUUCCCUCAUUUGCCAAAUACAACAUCUUGAGAAGAUGAAAUGAGAGAAAAAAACAGAACACAUUUAUCCUCUGUUAACUGAUCAUAGGGGGAAGAAAAAAAAAGAAGCCGCGCAUGGUGGCUCACACCUGUAAUCCCAGCACUUUGGAAGGCCAAGACAGAAGGAUUGCUUGAGGCCAGGAGUUUGAGACCAGCCUGGGCAACAUAGCAAGAUCCCCAUCUCUACAAAAAAAAAUUAGCUGAAGGUGGUGGUUGCAUGUCUGUAGUCCUAGCUACUGGGGAGACUGAGGCAGGAGGAUCUCCUGAGCCUAGGAAUUUGAGGCUGCAGUGGCACAAAUACAAUUGUGUACACUGUACUCUAGCCUGGGCAACAGAGCAAGACCCUGUCUCAAUAAAUAAAUAGAUAGAUAAAUAGAUAAAUAAAUAAAUAAAAUUCAAACACAUUCAGAAAAAGUUUAAAGCUCAAGGCACAAAUAUUAGCCAUUACCCUCAGCUUCUGACUUGGGGAGGUGAGGAAUGUGGCUCCUGGGUCCUGGUUUGUUAUUACCUUUAGGGGCAGUGGCCAGGCUUCCCUUUCUUCAUCUCUAAAAGACGGGGAUUAACCUGGACUGUCUCAAACAUCUCUCACAGCUGGGAGAUCACGAGAUUUCAACCCUGACCCAGCACCUGAGACUGGGUUCAUUUUCACGUUGGUUCAUACAGAGAUCUGUUUCUACUCUUCAGAUUAUAAUCUAGGUUUGGGGCACCAAAUAUUCCAUUUAAAACAUCUAGGAUGCUUGGAGCAAGUGGGCAGAAAAAGUGUGAGGGCCAUUUAACACGAAAGAAGUCUAGAUGGAAACAAAAAGCAAGCAAAACGUGGGCCGUGGCGUUCUGCAGAGUGGCUCGACUUAUUAGUGUGUUCUCUUCAAUGCCUGUCAGAGAAGAGGUGAUCACUGUGUCUUAUGAAAUCAGAUCUGUAACCGGAGAAAAGAUGAAAUUGCUUAACUAGCCCGACUCAUGUCAGUUUUUAUUUGAGAAGAGAAAAAACAUCCCUUUGAAUAAGAGAAAUAUAGCAGUCCUUAUCUGUCUAGCAACUGUACUCUCUGUAUAAAAAAAGGUAGCCCCAUGAUUCUACAAUUAUUUUUUAAAAAUUAUAAAUAAAUACAGUAUACAUGCAUUGAAGGAAGGUGUGCAAACUUAUUUUCUAAUGGUCUGUGUGAUCACAGUAGUUUGGAGACCACUGCUCUAAGUGAUGACAUUUCAGGGGCCCCUGCUUUGUCCUUUGCAUAUUUCUUUUUAAAGAAACUUAAAAAAAUAGACAUUAUUAUUAUUAUUAUUUGAGACGGAGUCUCGCUCUGUCACCCAGACUGGAGUGCAGUGGCGUGAUCUCGGCUCACUGCAAGCUCCGCCUCCCGGGUUCACGCCAUUCUCCUGCCUCAGCCUCCCAAGUAGCUGGGACUACAGGCGCCCGCCACCACGCCUAAAAACUUUUGUAUUUUUAAUAGAGAUGGGGUUUCACCGCGUUAGCCAGGAUGGUCUCAAUCUCCUGACCUCGAGAUCCGCCCUCCUCGGCCUCCCAAAGUGCUGGGAUUACAGACGUGAGCCACUGCGCCCGGCUGACAUUAUUUUUUUAAGUAGUUUUAGUCCACAGAAAAAUUAACCAGAAGAUACAGAAAUAUCUCACAUCCUCCCUGCCCCCCACAUACAUAGCCACCCUCUUAUCAACAUCCCUUCCACCAGAGUGGUACAUUUGUCACAACUGAUAACCCAUAUUGACACAUCAUUAUCACCCAAAGUCCGUAGUUUACAUUAGGGUUUAUUCUUGGUGUUGUACAUUCUGUUAGUUUGGACAAAUUUAUAAUGGCAUGUAUCUUCCAUUAAACCAUCAUACAGAGUAUUUUCACUGGCCUAAGAAUCUUCUGUGCUCUGCCUAUUCAUACCUCCCUCCACCCUAACCCCUAGCAACUACUGAUCUUUCUACCAUUUCCAUCGUUUUGACUUUUCCAUGUUGUCAUAUAGUUGGAGUCAUACAGUAUGUAGCCUUUUCAAACUGGCUUCUUUCACUUAGUGAUAUGCAUUUAAGUUUCCUCCAUGUAUUUUCAUGGCUUGAUAGCUCAUUUCUUUUCAGUGCUGAGUAAUAUUCCAUUGACUAAAAGUACCACAGUUUCAUUUAUCCAUUCUCCUACUGAAGGAAAUCUUGGUUGCUUCUAAGUUUUGGCAGUUUUGAAUAAAGCUGCUAUAAACACCCAUGUGCAGGUUUUUGUGUGGACAUACAUUUUUGACUUCUUUGGGUUAAAACCAAAGAGUAUGAUUACUACAUCGUAUGGUAACAGCAUGUUUAGUUUUGUAAGAAAUUGCCAAUCUAUCCUUAAAGUGGCCGUACUGCUUUGCAUUCCUAUUAGCAAUGAAUGAGAGUUCCUUUUGCUCCACAUCCUUGCCAGCAUGUGAUGUUGUCAGUUGUCAGGUUCAUGACUACACCAAAUGUUAUGUUGAGUCCGAAGGGAGUGGCUGGAUGAGCAGAAAGAACACUCGGGGGGCUGUAGGCAGUUGAAAGAUGACUUUAUUCAGCAGCAGCUCUUAUCAACAGCUUUCUCUCACACUGUCCGCCCUGUCUCGGCUGCUUAGUCUGGCGGCUCCCACACACAGCUGCGUGGCCGGCUCUCCCUUGCCUUCAGGGUGAGCAGCUUAACUCUUUCUCUCUCUGGGAAUGAGUGAGCUGAGCUGUGUCCUGGCUCAGACGGACAGCUCUGACUCGCUCUCUCUUUCUCUGGGCGCCUGCGCGCCUACCAUGUCAAGCCAUUUGAGGCGAGCCGAGCCCCAGAGCCACGUCUCUGGUGCACAGAGUUAACAGGGCAGUUAUACCUUUUACAGACAACUGUGGCUCCAAGUCAAGUAUGAACUUACACAAACAGUUUAUAUAACAAGUGGAGGUGUGCGCCUGCGUGCCAAACUUGCUGACUCAUGCAGGCCUGGAUACCCGCCUCAGCCUAUUCCUUGACCGAAGCACUUCCAGGGCAGGAAACUGAAGCUCUUGGGAAGGCGGAAGUUGCACGUGGUCUCACAGUCAACUGUGCCAGAAUAGGAGGCCAGGAACCAUCUCUGCUGGAGGAAGACCCACCACGCAUCCCUUCAAGAGUGCCAAGGUCCAGAGCAAGCGCUUCCCUUCUAUGGGCACAGGAGGGCUGUGGGAGCCCACAAAUGUGCUUCUGGCCAGAGUGGGAUCCCCGAGGAAGAUGUUAAGACCUCUAAUAAUAUUUAAGAGCAAAAUUAGCACAGCUCCAGCCCAUGGGCAAGUUAGAGACAGGAGUAGUGUCUGUGGAGUGGAGGAAAGCAGAGGCUGCCGCUGACCAUCCUGCAGCCCUCGCUCUGGCUGCUCACAGCUCUCCACCUUCUCUGGACUUCGUCACUUCAGUAUGUGAAACAACCAUUUCAACCAGCUUGGACAAAAGAGAGAAGCCAAGAUGGGGCUGAGAAACCAAUGCAGGCAGGCCCAGGGACCCAGGAGUCAGGGACCAGGUGCUACCAGAUGCUUGCUCCGACUCGUGUUGCUGCUGUCUUCUCUGUGCCUCAACUCUGUCCUCUGUCACUGCAGGCAGCUUCCUCCCAAGGUGGAUGAAAAAGUCUGGGGAGGACUUUGACUCUUACCCAUCCCCUGGAAAAAUCAACUGGGGAGGUGGAAUUCAUGGAAGAACAUGGCAGCUCCUGAGGCAGAUGUUUGGGUUGGAAAGAACACACCAUUCAUUCAUUCAUGUGGCACUUUUUUUUUUUUUUUGACGGAGUUUCACUCUGUCACCCAGGCUGGAGUGCGGUGGCGCGAUCUCAGCUCACUCAUGCAGCACAUUUUUACUGAGCAAAACUGAGAGGCUGAGUGAGGGACCAAAGUCUUCACUGAUGAGGGACAGGGUCCCCAGAGAUUGGCAGAUGAAGGUGAAGAGAAAAGGUAGAGGACACCAAGGGCCCUGCCAAGCAGCAGAAGAAGGAGGAAUUGAGGAGCUUCUUCUGGAAUGAAAUCAGUUGCAUUUUUUUAUUUUUUAUUUUUUGAGACAGGAUAUUUCUCUGUUCUCCAGGCUGGAGUGCAGUGGUUGAUCUCGGCUCACUGGUGACCAACCUUUGGCUCCUGGCUCAAGUGGUCUUCCUGCCUCAGCCUCCUGAGGAGUUGGUAUUACAGGCACGUACCACCAUGCCUGGCUGAUUUUUGUAUUUUUAGUAGAGAUGGGGUUUCACCAUGUUGUCCAGGCUGAUCUUGAACUCCUGAACUCAAGUAAUCAGCCCGCCUCGGCCUCCCAAAGUGCUGGGAUUUUAGGCGUGAGCUACCGGGCCCGGCCCACUUGCUCCUUUGAAAGGAAGUCCUGCUAUGAAAGAAAGUAGCAGUUGAACUAAAUGGUGAAGUGAAUGAUGUAGCUGCUUUACAUCCUGGCUCAAGCUCCUGACCUUGUUGUAAAACAAUAAAAGUUUGGGCACCAGCAGUGAGUCUGCCAGCUACACUGUGAGUAGCUGUGCCCGAGGGGAAUUCUUGCACAUACUCUAUGCGAGAUGUGUACAAGAAUGUGCAUAGUAGCAUUGUCUAUAAUAGCUAAAAAAGGAAACAACCCAGAUAUUCAUAAGUAAUAGAAUAAAGAAGAAAUUUUGGCAUAAUGAAAUCCCAUAUAGCAAAGAAACCAAAUAAACUACAGCUACACCCAUCGACAUGAACAAAUUUCAAAAAUACUGUUGAGCAAAGACAGCAUGUUAAGAAGGUUACAAUUAGCAUGGCUUUGUCACAUGAAAUUCACAAAAGGCACCACUAAGCAGUAUAUUGGUUAGGGAUCCACAACAAAUGGAUUAAAACUAUAAAGGAAAGCCAGGGAAUGAGUAACACCUGUGUCAGGUCAGUGGCUUGCCCCAGGGUUUGGGAAGGGAGAGCAAGACAAUUGGGAAGGGUGGGCAUGGAGUGAGCUUCAUGGUAUUGGCAAUGUUCAAUUCCUUAAGCUGGGUGGUGUGGAUAUGGGUAUCUGGUUUUUAUUAUUAUUCUUUAAGCUGGACAUAUACGUUAUGCACAUUCUUUUGUAAUGCGAUCUAUUUCACAAUGAAAAAAAAAAUUGUAAAGCAGAUAUAGCCAAAACCAAAGCUCCUCCACACCCCAAUAAAAGGUAGAGUUUGAUGUGGUUGAAGAGUCUGAGCCUCAAUGGAAUGAGGACUUUUCCAGAUGUGGUGCUGUACUGGCUGGAAUAGCAUCUGGGAGAAAGGAGGAUGGCAAAGCAACCCACACUGCCCCCUGGCCAGGGCAUCGGCAGCUGGACUGAGGGGUGCCCUGGUAUCCCCGGGACCUCCUCUUCCUAUGGCUCUGGGACCGCUGUGUGCCCACUCUAUGCCCCUUUCUUCCUGCACCACAAUCCUCAGGGGUUGGCUGGCUUUUCGGAGUCGCCACCAGGUACUUUAUUUCUCACAGCUUUCGCAUGGCUGCCUGCUGAGUAGGAGGCAAUUAUCCUAACUUCUCAUGUUUUUGACCCCCAAAGCAAGUGCCCCAGCCCAUUUGGAGUUAAAAAUGUGAAAGCAUUUUGGACCACAUCCAAAAUCUGGUCACUCACCAUGUGAUUACCUUUUUAGGGAAGGUUUAUCAUUUGCCUGCUGAAGUUUACUUUAAAUUCUGAAUGUUUUGCAAACACAUUCUUUGUUGACAGCUCUAGCUGGAAAUGUUUCAGCUCACCGUGUUCUGGGUAAAAAACAUUGUCAAGUCUUUUUUUAACCCCUCACGUUAGAUGGUUUUUCUUGGCCUGCAUUUCAGUGUCCAUUAACCUUAGUGUCGUAAGAUCUUGGAGUUAGAAGGAAACUUGGAAGCCACCCAUCCAACUUCCCACCCAGUGGGAGAAUAGUUCUGAAGCUUGCCUGAUCGCCAGCCUCAGAUAGCUUGCUUUUUAAGGGCAUUGCUGUACAGACACAGAGUACCAUAGUUUACCAAUUCCCCAUAACAUUUUGCAUACAUUUUCAUGAAUCUUGCAGAAUCAGAAAGCAGUGUGAGCAAUUCCAAGUUUGUUAAUUAAAUUAAAAUGAGCACAGACUCUUACAAAACAGGUUUUAGAGUUACAGGAGGCCUUACAUGGUCAAAGACAUUUUUCACCUACUUAAAAUAAUCCUAUCCUGGUUAGCAGGGACAGAGAGACGAGGGAGUUGGACACAUCACAUGCUUGGAAGGAGAAGCAGAGAAAGAUUGCUUGGCAGUCCUGUGUGUACAUUUUCUUCUGUCCCUUUGUUAUUACUUUCUUGCCUCCUUAAAAGAACAGAGAUGGCCAGGCGCGGUGGCUCACACCUGUAAUCCCUGCAUUUUGGGAGGCCGAGGUGGGCGGAUCACGAGGCCAGGAGUUCGAGACCAGCCUGACCAACAUGGUGAAACUCCGUCUCUACUAAAAAUACAAAAAUUAGCCAGGUCUGGUGGUGGGCGCCUGUAAUCCCAGCUACUCAGGAGACUGAGGCAGGAGAAUCACUUGAACCUGGGAGGUGGAGGUUGCAGUGAGCUGAGAUCACACCACUGCACUCCAGCCUGGGCAACAGAGUGAGACUUGGUCUCAAAAACAAACAAACAAACAAACAAAAAACAAAAAACAAAACAAAACAAAAAAAGAACAAAUGGUAUAUAAAUGAAGAAUAUAGACAUUGCCCUGCUGAAGGGCGCUGGACUGGCCUGUCAUCCUCCCACUGCCACCCUCUGUCUUUCCACCUAAUGGUAACUGGAUGCCUUGUCCCAUUAGUUUGGGCCCACCCCAGUUUCUGAGCCCACCGAGAGAUAGUGCAAUGUGUGUUAAUAGUUGCCCCUUCCACCUGUCUCCCCACCUUUUGUUCUGCUCCAGUAGAGGGAGCCAAGCGGUGAUACCAGCUGCCAUGGUGGUUAAGUGAGCUUGAGCCUUGAGCGACGCUGGGACCUUGGUGGCACAGGCCCCUCAGGGUAAGGGGAGGAAGCUGGCCUGGGAAAGACUGAAGUUAACCCAUCAGAACAGCAGGGUUGUUCUGUGCCUAACCCCUCUCUCAUGCAAGCUGAGGAGAGUUUCUGGGCUAAAGAAGGAAGCUGAAGAUUUUUUUUUUUUUAAGUUAGGGGUAGGAAGCUCAAGCAGGGGUGAGGAGAGAACAAUGCAAGGUGCUGACCCAGCCUGGACACACAGGUGCAAGGUCCAGGGGGCGUGUGAAGUUCAGGUAAGCUUAAGUAAUGGUUGUGAGAAGGCCUAGUUGGUGGCACAGGGCCUGGUGGACCCUUCACAGCAUGAUACCCCAGUCAGAGCCUGUGCAGAGAGACAGGCAAGAAGUGGCAGGAUGUCGGGGCCACAAGCGGAAGCUCAGGGCAGGCCAGCAUGCCCUGCAGGCCACCAGGGGCAGGAGCCUCCUUCAAGGUUCUGAUCCCGCUGUGUGGUCCCUCCCCAGACACCCAGAUCUCCCCCAGCACGCUGAGCACCUAGAGACUGGUCCAGGACUGAUGCACUCACAGAUCUGCCUGGGUCCCGUCUCGAAGGGGCCAAGGAGACUGGGACUGACUGCCUGAACUGCUGGGCCCCAAGUUCCGUCAAUUCAAAUCAACAAAUACUGGACUGUGUAUCUCUGGGUGAGGGAGUUGGGGUAGGAUAAAGAUAAGGGGCUGGGUGGCCAACUAGGAGGGAGAUUAGGAAAUGCCGAUAAUGUCAUAUCAUAUGAAUUAUACAGCAGAUUACACAGCCAGAGCAGAUUACACAGCCAGAGGACACUGCUUCGUUAGUCCAUACAGGCAUCUAUUUACAUGGGGCAUUUACAUGGGAGAAGGAGAGGGGGAAGACAACAUAGGAAGAGAGGAAGCGGGGGAAGAAUUUUGCAUAGAAAAAAUGCAGUGCCAAUCCCUGACCUUGUCUUCCAGUCCAGUGGCAGGUGGCAGCAGGGAAGGACUAAAGGAGCCAUUUCUGCAGGGCGUCAGGGAGACAGAGGCCACAGCUAUCUGCUUAGGUUCCAAAGUAACUUCAGGGAUACUGAGUGGAGGAGAGGGUCAUUGUCCUCACCCCGCUGUGCAGCAAAGCAUCUCUGUGAGUGUGAGGGCAGCAGAGGUGUAACUCCAUGUUGGCACCUACACCGCUGGUGUAGUGGAAGCAGCACCCUUGGCAUGCACACAGGUGUAUCCCCAGAGGGCAGCCUGAGAGCGCAGCACAGAGCAUCCGCAGGACUUGAGUGGGAUCGGAGGUCAGGAACCAGUGACGUUCUGGACACACCCGUUAUUUUCAACUGGUUGGUACCAGGUUGGGCCAGUAGGACCUGGAAAUACUCCAGUUGUGGAAGUUAACAGAGUGUCCUCUCUAGGCGCUUUAAUUGCCACCUUCAUAACAGCCUUGAAAAAUUCCACCCGCCCCCCAACCUUUUAAAUUUCUUUUCUUUUCUUUUUUUUCUUUUGAGACGGAGUCUCACUCUGUUGCCCAGGCUGAAGUGCAGUGGUGCAAUCUCAGCUCACUGCAGCCUCCACUUCCCAGGUCCAAGCGAUUCACCUGUCUCAGCCUCCCGAGUAGCUGGGACUACAGGCACAUGCCACCAUGCCUGGCUAAUUUUUAUAUUUUUAGUAGAGAUGGAGUUUCACUAUGUUGUCCGGGCUGGUCUCGAACUCCUGGCCUUAAGUGAUCCGUCCAUCCCGGCCUCCCAAAGUGCUAGGAUUACAGGCAUGAACCACCGCACCCGGUCCCUACCUUUUAAAUGUCAUAGAACUUUUCUGAAUCUGCAAUUACCUUGUUUUUUUCCUUUAGUCCAAGGGUCAGCCAAUUAAAAAAAAUUUUUUUUCUGUAAAGAGCCAGAUAGUAAGUACUUUUGGCCUUGGGGGCCAUAUGGUCUCUGUUACAACUGCUCAGCUCUGCCACUGUGGUCUGGAAGCAGCCAUUGACAAUGCAUAGACUAACGAAUGUGACUGUAUUCAAAUAACAGAUGAUUUAUGGACUCUGACACUGGAAUUUUAUAUACAUUUUCACAAAUUACAAAACAUUCUUUUUGAUUUUUUUUCACAAAUCCAAAAAUGUGAAAAACAUUUUUAACUUGUUGGGUGCAGAGACAGUCCCUGGCCGUAGUUUACCAAUCCCUGAGGGUCAGGAAGGGCUCAUAGUUGUGUUGCUAGUGCCUAGCACAAUGUCCGACAUACAGUAGGUGCUCAGCAGAUAUUUGUUGGAGGUGUGAACUGCACUUUACAUACAAGGAGACCACAGCUCAAGAGGUUAAUCAGCUCUCUGAAAUGUGGAGUUAGAACUCACACUUUCAUGGUUUGCAAUAGUUUGGAGAGUGAGGUGGUUGGCAGCUCUUCCAGCUCCAAGUCCUCCACUCCUUCUACCAAAUCACAGCUUUGGCCUUCCCAGAAAAAAAUAUUGUCAUAUGGAAUUUCACAGAAUUGGGGGCCGGGCGUGGUGACUCAUGCCUGUAAUCCCAGCACUUUGGGAGGCCGAGGCAGGUGAAUCUCUUGAGGUCAGGAGUUCGAGACCAGCCUGGCCAACAUGGUGAAAUCCCGUCUCUACUAAAAAUACAAAAUUUAGCCAGGCGUGGGGGUGUGCACCUGUAAUCCCAGGUACUUGUGAGGCUGAGGCAGGAGAAUUGCUUGAACCCAUGAGGCGGAGGUUGCAGUAAGCUGAGAUCACGCCACUGCACUCCAGCCUGGGCAACAGAGCCAGACUCCGUCUCAAAAAAAAAAAAAAAAAAAAAAAAAAAAAAGAAUUGGGGAUUGAGAACUGCUUUUGAGCAAUAAAUCAACCAGUGAGGUAGACUCUUGUGGUAUCACCUUUCAACAUGGUCAAGCUAUGGAAACGUGAUUUUAAUUUCUCAGGUUUUUUUUUCGUUUGUUUGUUUUUGUUUUUGUUUUUAAUCUGCCAGAUGGAGACCAUGCCAUUGCUAGUCUACCUUGAAAGACAGAUGUGAAGAAUGAAGUCAGGGGCUUUGCAGGAAGGCGAUAUAUCCCACCUCAUGAAAUCAGGCUUCACCACAAGAUUGCUUUGACCAAUGGGACGUGAGUAGAAGUUUGAAGAACCACAGACUGGUCCAUCACCUUGUUUCUUAUCCCUCUGACAUAAGCAAUGUCCCAGACUGGGGCUGUUCUGUUAGCCUGGCUUCCAGAAUGAAGAGAGCUGAUCUACAUGGCAUAUGUAACAUAAAUAAACCUUUGUUAUUACAAACCACUGAAACUUGGGACUUCUUUGUCACAGCAGAUGAAUUUAGCCUAACUAUCCAAUACAGGUAUCUUGAGAAGAAACAGCAACAGGAGAAGAAGAAGAAACAGCAACAGCAACAGGACGAAGAGUUGUUUUGGGGGAAAAAAGGAUGAUCCAGGGUGAAAUGUAAUAAUUCUGAGGUGGCCAUUGAAUACCUCAGGGGGUGUCAAAUGGUUGACUUAUAAAUGAUGAAAUUGAGUCUCAGUGAGAUCAUUUGCCCAUGGUCACACAGAAGCUGGAGAUAUAGAUUUGGAAACUGUGUGUGCUGAGAGGGGAUGGUCACUAAGAGCAACUUUGUAGAGAGAAGGAUGGGGAGCAAGUAAGAGUCAAAGCUGGGUCUCUCAGAAAGUCAAGAGACAAGCCAGGAUGGGCCAUGACAGAGCAGGGGCAGACAUGUCAAGAGAAGAAAACAUGGGACAGGAGGUUCCCAAAACUGAGGAAAGGCCUUGGGGUGUGGCAAUUACAAAGUCACUGGAGGCCUUUGGAAAAGCUAUUUUUGUAGAAUGCCAAGAGUGGCAGCCACAUAGCAGAUGGUUGAGGAGGGACAGUGGAUUAAGAAAGUGAAGGUGCUUUUCUGAGAAGUUUCUCUGUCAAGGUGAAAAGUAAAUAGAAUAUGUGAGCAGCAAGGUCCAGUGAAGAAUUUUUAUGUUGGACAUCUGUGUAUGUUUCUGGGCAAAGGGGAGAGAAUGAGGAAAAUGUGAGAGGCUGGAGACACUGGAGAGCCCUUGAGGAUCACCGGCCGGGAUGCGAGCAGGAGCUGCGGCAUCAGGAGUCCUGGAGAAUGAUGUGGCCUGGACACUGGGCAGACUCUGCUCCUCAGAGCAAGAAGCAAAGGGGAAUUGCUUGAAAGGCGAGUGAUGUGUGGAAGAGGAAAGCAGGGCAGAGGGAAAACCUGGAGUGUGCCUAAUGGCUUUGACUUUCCUGACAAAGUUGGAAGGGAGGCUGAGGAUAGGAGGUCAGGAAAAGGUGAGGAAGGGGCUCCAGGAAGCUGCAGGAGAUGAAAUGUCUUGGGCAGCAGUCUCCAGUCCAACAGCAGAGGCAAACGGCAUUGUGAGCAGAGCGAAGUAAUCAUUCAAAGCAAGAAUGCAUAUGUAGUUAGGUUCUGUGGUUUUCUAUGGCCAUCUCUUCAGCCUGGGAGCAAAAACUAGAGAAUGAGAGGCAGAGAGAGACCCCAGAUCAGACAUUUGCCUAAGACAAGGGACAAGAGUGAGGCACACAUGAGUCUAGACAUUGGAGCAAGGGGCUGCCCAUGGCAUGGGUAGCUGACAAGGAUUUGAGCAGGGCCACAGGGGGUGAACAGAAUGGAGACACUGAACUGCUUGCCGGGGAUUGGAGGAGUCAGCAAUGAGAUGUGGCCUUGGUGGUCUGGGGCGGCUAUGGAGAGAGGGAGAUUUGUGAAGUUCUCUAGGAACAAGUUGCUAUUUUAUUUUAUUUUACUAUUUUUUUUUUUUGAGAUGGAGUCUCACUCUGUUGCCCAGGCUGGAGUGCAAUGGCAUGAUCUUGGCUCACUGCAACCUCUGCCUCCAGGGUUCAAGUGAUUCUCCUGCCUCAGCCUCCUGAGUAGCUGGGAUUACAGGCACCCACGACCAUGCCUGGCUAAUUUUUGUAUUUUUAGUAGAGACGGGGUUUCACCAUGUUGGCCAGGCUGGUCUCAAACUCCUGACCUCAAGUGAUCCACCCGCCUUGGCCUCCCAAAGUGCUGGGAUUACAGUCGUGAGCCUCCGCACCCGGCCACAAGUAACCGUUUUAAAGUAUACAGUUCUUUGACAUUGAGUGCAUUGGUAACACUGUGCAACUACCACCUCUUUCUAGGGGUGAAGGGAACUUUAUCCACCUAGAGCCAAUAUUAUUUGAGAAGAGCUCUUAGGAGAGCCAAGGGUGAAGUAUGAGGCCAGAGGGUGGACAGGAGUGGAGUGAAGCAGGUGACAGUAGGGUGGGAAUCAGUUGGUCUGAGGUGCCAAGGUGGUCAGGGAAUCAGGGGUGAUGGAAUCCCAGAGGAGAGAAGUGAUAUGGUUUGGCUCUGUGUCCCUACCCAAAUGUCAUCUGGAAUUGUAAUCCUCAUGUGUCCGGGGAGGAACCUGGUGGGAGGUGAUUGGAUCAUGGGGGCAGAUUUCCCCCAUGUUGUUCUAGUGAUAGUGAGUGCUCACAAGAUCGAUGCUUUAAAAGUGUUUAGCAGUUCCCCACUUUGCUCUCUCUUUCUCUCUCCUGCCACUAUGAGAAGAGGUGCCUUGCUUUCCCUUUGCCUUCCACCAGGAUUGUAAGUUUCCUGAGGCCUUCCCAGCCAUGCAGAACGGUGAGUCCAUUAAACCUCUUUCCAUUUUAAAUUA
Long non-coding RNA from Pan troglodytes (chimpanzee), 13700 nucleotides. RefSeq lists it as uncharacterized. The transcript is spliced from 6 exons. Lineage: Eukaryota; Metazoa; Chordata; Mammalia; Primates; Hominidae. The record is from RefSeq and is a predicted model, not a curated record.